Molecule: long non-coding RNA, 1602 nt
Filed under: Homo sapiens (human)
Lineage: Eukaryota; Metazoa; Chordata; Mammalia; Primates; Hominidae
Description: HSALNT0324470
Source: RNAcentral
UCUCUCCAAGGAUCGCUGUGGCCUCUGUAAGCUCCCCUCAUAACUGCUCUGAACUGAGCACCCUGCUGAUGAGGGCUUCUUUCUUUGGAAUCCCAAUCGACCCCAUCCUGGAACAGUUCAGAGUACUCCCUUGUGGGAAUUCCCCCGCCGCUGCUUUUGGGGUGAUUCCAGCGUUGGGUUGGCUGGACAAAACAGCCUCGAAGCAUACUGCCCCAAAUCUGGUCCUUCUGAGUUUCUGAUUCCCUCACUCUUCAUCUCUUAUGACGCCUUCCUAAACAUUCCUGAGAGUUUCAAACAUUGUCUUUCAUUUGACUCAGGGAUUCAUCAUCCGCUUCCUGUUGAAAUAGUAAACGCCUCCACAUGGACUCACGGGUUCACCUCCUUCCGGUCUGAACAGUGAACUCCUCCGCAUCAACUCACCCAUUCACCCCUUCCGGUCUAAACAGUGAACGCCUCCGCAUGGACUCACGAGUUCACCUCCUUCCGGUCUAAACAGUGAACGCCUCCGCAUCGACUCACGGGUUCACCUCCUUCCGGUCUGAACAGUGAACUCCUCCGCAUGGACUCACGGGUUCACCUCCUUCCGGUCUGAACAGUGAACGCCUCCGCAUCGACUCACGGGUUCACCUCCUUCCGGUCUGAACAGUGAACUCCUCCGCAUGGACUCACGGGUUCACCUCCUUCCGGUCUGAACAGUGAACUCCUCCGCAUCGACUCACGGGUUCACCUCCUUCCGGUCUGAACAGUGAACUCCUCCGCAUGGACUCACGGGUUCACCUCCUUCCGGUCUGAACAGUGAACUCCGCAUCGACUCACGCGUUCACCUCCUUCCGGUCUAAAUGGUAAACUCCUCUGCAUUUUCUGUUCGGUUCUAUUUUGGUGGGGCCCACGCGUCAUCACAGAGUAUCUGGGAGCCCUGCCCUCUUGCAGAUGGGAAUGAAGGCCCAGGUGCUCUGGAGAGGUGACUCUCCUCUAGAAAGGAAACACUGGUUCUGUAAACCUGUUUGAGAAGAAAAGCUCGAGGUUUCUUGGCCUCUCUGCUUCUGGAGCCAGGGGAAAAAAUAGCCCCAGGCUGAAGACAGGAGGGACCAGAUUGCUGCUUGGUGAUGCGAUCUCACUGCAGAGGCAGCCAGGAGACCCUCCUGAGACGAAUCGGAGAGUCCAUGCUGCUUUUACACACAUCCUAGUUCUUUUAUAACUAGCCUUUUCCUAUUAACGGACAUCAUUCAAAAGCCAGUUUUAAGCAACAUAAAUAUUGAAAACAAUACUAUACUAUUUAGAAUUAAUUAUAAGUUUUGUUUUUAAAGCCUAAAUCUUUUAUUGUUGUUUGAACCCUGGGCACUGAAGCUAAUAAUGUAACUUUUCUCCCUUCUUUCUUCUUUGGCAUAGAUUUAAAGAACUGUUAGACUCAUUUAAAAUGCUAUUAGGCAUUUUAAAGAGUAAUUGUUAAAUGUGUUGUCUCUUGUGGGACUGGAAAUGUUCUGUUCUUAUCUGGCGCUGGUUACAUCCUGUUUUUCAUUUGGGAAAGUGCAUUGAGCUGGAAAUUUAUAUGUUCAAUUUCUGUAUGUAAAUUGUACUUCAGUAAAAAUUUUCAAAAAAGUG